Molecule: ribosomal RNA, 381 nt
Filed under: uncultured marine Chaetocerotaceae
Lineage: Eukaryota; Bacillariophyta; Thalassiosirophyceae; Chaetocerotales; Chaetocerotaceae
Description: SSU rRNA
Rfam family: Eukaryotic small subunit ribosomal RNA
Source: RNAcentral
AGCUCCAAUAGCGUAUAUUAAAGUUGCUGCAGUUAAAAAGCUCGUAGUUGCAUUUCCGAGGCAAGGGAUUAGUCCGACCUUUGGUGGGUAUUUAAUCCUCUUGCCUCGUCCUUGAGUGGUGCUUCUUGGUAUUAAGUUAUCGAGGAGAUAGCCGCUCAUCGUUUACUGUGAGAAAAUUAGAGUGUUCAAAGCAGGCUUAUGCCGUUGAAUAUAUUAGCAUGGAAUAAUAAGAUAGGACCUCGGUACUAUUUGGUUGGUUUGAGAACCAAGGUAAUGAUGAAUAGGGACAGUUGGGGGUAUUCGUAUUCAGUUGUCAGAGGUGAAAUUCUUAGAUUUACGGAAGACGAACUACUGCGAAAGCAUUUGCCAAGGAUGUUUUCA